Molecule: RNA transcript, 1755 nt
Organism: Chenopodium quinoa (quinoa)
Lineage: Eukaryota; Viridiplantae; Streptophyta; Magnoliopsida; Caryophyllales; Amaranthaceae
Gene name: protein bem46-like
Exons: 10
Source: RefSeq, a predicted model, not a curated record
AAAAAAAGAGAACAUAAAGCUCAAACGUGGCUUUUUAAAAUUGGUUAAUCCAGAACGCCAAAGCACGACUUUACAGCUCCGGCAGUGUAGUGCGUGAGUCCUCAACAACAAAUACCAGUAUUUUUGCAGAGGAGAGAGAAAAUCCACCUUCAACAAUGGUGUCGUACAUUAACGCGUUACUCUACGGAGUAGGAGGGAUAGUUGUUGCUGGAAUGGCGUUGUUGGUUGCGUUUCAGGAGCGACUUGUUUAUGUUCCUGUGUUGCCUGGUCUUACCAAGUCUUACCCCAUUACUCCUGCUCGUUUGCGUCUUCUUUAUGAAGAUGUUUGGCUCAGAUCUUCUGACGGGGUUAAACUUCAUGCUUGGUUCAUCAAGCUUCUUCCCGAUUGCCGAGGUCCAACUAUUCUGUUUUUUCAAGAAAAUGCUGGAAAUAUUGCUCAUCGCCUUGAAAUGGUUCGGAUUAUGAUUCAGAAGUUGCAGUGCAAUGUAUUCAUGCUUUCUUACAGAGGUUAUGGUGCUAGUGAUGGCUCUCCUUCUCAACAUGGAAUCACCAAAGAUGCUCAGGCUGCAUUGGAUCAUCUAAUGCAAAGGACUGAUAUAGACACGUCCCAGAUAGUUGUGUUUGGGAGGUCAUUGGGUGGAGCAGUUGGAACCGUUCUUGCAAAAAACAAUCCUGAUAAGGUUUCUGCCUUGAUUUUGGAGAAUACGUUCACAUCCAUUUUGGACAUGGCUGGAGUUUUACUGCCUUUCUUGAAAUGGUUUAUUGGCGGAAGCACUGGCAAAGGUCCUAAGAUUCUGAACUGUGUUGUCCGUUCCCCUUGGAGUACCAUUGAUGUUAUUGGUCAGGUUAAACAGCCUAUCCUUUUCAUCUCUGGAUUGCAAGAUGAGAUGGUUCCUCCAAUCCACAUGAAAAUGCUGUAUGCCAAAGCAGCUGCCCACAAUAAACAUUGCUUUUUUGUGGAAUUCUCUACUGGCAUGCAUAUGGAUACAUGGCUUACUGGUGGAGAUCGUUAUUGGAGAACAGUUUGUGAAUUUAUGGAACAACACGUAAUUGAAAAAACACAUGAUGAGUCUAACUCUAGUACCAAUGUUUAUCCAAAAAUGUGAAAUCUGGGUUUCAUAGUCGCUAAUAUUGUCGACAUAUUGCCAUCUUGGUGACCCUUAGUGGCCUAAUUCUCUUGCUGGUUAAGCAGUUGCUGUUAAAAGACGUUGGAAAGUAGAUUUUCCUCUAGACAUGGCUGAAAUUUUUUGUACCUGUUAUUGCAAUGUGUAAAAGCUAUCUGGAAAGAGUUGCUUCUGGUCAAGAUUCUUAUUAAUGGCUUUGCGUUCUUGCUGUUGAUGUUGUUUUUGUUGAACUUCUUAUAGCAAGAACUGAACACUUUUGUGUUCAAUGUCUCUAACAAAGUAUGGUGACCAGAUUUAUCAGCCUGUGUUCACCAUGCAGUAGAUAGUAGCAAGGGAGAUGCAAAACAUACACUGUAUAGUUUUUGCUCUGAAGAUAGUAACUCAUUUUUUUUCUAUUGUGUUAGAUCGGGAUUUACUAAAUCUUCGUGGAUUGGGAUUUUAGGAUCUGACUCAAAAUGCUGAUCCAGCAUUUAAUGAUUUGACUCAGCGAGAGUUGGAUGCUGAAUUGUUGUAGUCAAUACAUUUUUGCUUUGUUAUGCUGUUAGUAAAGUGGAUUUCUGUAGUUUUACUGGAUGAUGUAUAAUGUGUUGUUUUGGUACAAUAUUGAGGCCUGCUCGUCGUUGCUAGCUUA